RNAcentral lists this ribosomal RNA (467 nucleotides) under uncultured bacterium. RNAcentral describes it as "partial 16S ribosomal RNA". It matches the Rfam family "Bacterial small subunit ribosomal RNA", at positions 28 to 507 of the family's 1533-position model. The record is from RNAcentral.
GAUGAACGCUGACAGCAUGCUUAACACAUGCAAGUCCACUUGAAUUUGGGUUUUUAACUUCGGUUUGGGUGGCGGACGGGUGAGUAACGCGUAAAGAACUUGCCUCACAGCUAGGGACAACAUUUGGAAACGAAUGCUAAUACCUAAUAUUAUGAUAAUAGGGCAUCCUAUAAUUAUGAAAGCUAUAAGCGCUGUGAGAGAGCUUUGCGUCCCAUUAGCUAGUUGGAGAGGUAACGGCUCACCAAGGCGAUGAUGGGUAGCCGGCCUGAGAGGGUGAUCGGCCACAAGGGGACGGAGACACGGCCCUUACUCCUACGGGAGGCAGCAGUGGGGAAUAUUGGACAAUGGACCGAGAGUCUGAUCCAGCAAUUCUGUGUGCACGAUGAAGUUUUUCGGAAUGUAAAGUGCUUUCAGUUGGGAAGAAACAAAUGACGGUACCAACAGAAGAAGUGACGGCUAAAUACGUG